GACGAACGCUGGCGGCGUGCUUAACACAUGCAAGUCGAACGGAAAGGCCCUGCUCUUGUGGGGUGCUCGAGUGGCGAAAGGGUGAGUAACACGUGAGUAACCUGCCCUUGACUUUGGGAUAACUUCAGGAAACUGGGGCUAAUACCGGAUAGGAGCUCCUGCUGCAUGGUGGGGGUUGGAAAGUUUCGGCGGUUGGGGAUGGACUCGCGGCUUAUCAGCUUGUUGGUGGGGUAGUGGCUUACCAAGGCUUUGACGGGUAGCCGGCCUGAGAGGGUGACCGGCCACAUUGGGACUGAGAUACGGCCCAGACUCCUACGGGAGGCAGCAGUGGGGAAUAUUGCACAAUGGGCGGAAGCCUGAUGCAGCAACGCCGCGUGCGGGAUGACGGCCUUCGGGUUGUAAACCGCUUUCGCCUGUGACGAAGCGUGAGUGACGGUAAUGGGUAAAGAAGCACCGGCUAACUACGUG
This 468-nucleotide ribosomal RNA is filed under the name uncultured bacterium. RNAcentral's name for it is "partial 16S ribosomal RNA". It matches the Rfam family "Bacterial small subunit ribosomal RNA", at positions 28 to 507 of the family's 1533-position model. The record is from RNAcentral.